Molecule: unclassified non-coding RNA, 249 nt
Filed under: uncultured fungus
Lineage: Eukaryota; Fungi
Description: sequence contains ITS1
Source: RNAcentral
GUAUAUAUUUGCGCAAUUAUACGCUAUAAUAUUAUCCAUUCUAUAAACUUUAUAUGAAGGUGUAUAAAAAUUCAUAACUAGGGCUUUCCAACAUUGUUUCCAACAUUGUAAUCAUCCCAAGCUACACAUAGUGCACAGGUGUGAAAGGUGGAUAUGUGAUCAAGGUGUGCACAUGCCCCAAGAGGCCAGCUACAACCCUUCUCAACACUCAUUUCAUUAAUGAUCCUUCCGCAGGUUCACCUACGGAAA